AAUGAACGUUGGCGGCGUGGAUUAGGCAUGCAAGUCGUGCGAGAACCGUAGCAAUACGGGGACAGCGGCGAAAGGGAGAGGAACACGUGGGUAUCUACCCCCGGAUUCAGGAUAGUCGUGGGAAACUACGGGUAAUACUGAAUAACGUCUCCGGACCAAAGGUGUGAUUCCGUCCGGGGAGGGGCCCGCGUCCUAUUAGCUAGUUGGUGAGGUAACGGCUCACCAAGGCGAAGAUGGGUACGGGAUGUGAGAGCAUGAUCCCGCUCAUUGGGACUGAGACACUGCCCAGACACCUACGGGUGGCAG
This 306-nucleotide ribosomal RNA is filed under the name uncultured Planctomycetota bacterium. RNAcentral's name for it is "bacterial SSU rRNA". It matches the Rfam family "Bacterial small subunit ribosomal RNA", at positions 29 to 351 of the family's 1533-position model. Lineage: Bacteria; Pseudomonadati; Planctomycetota. The record is from RNAcentral.